Molecule: ribosomal RNA, 3032 nt
Filed under: Lanceola sayana
Lineage: Eukaryota; Metazoa; Arthropoda; Malacostraca; Amphipoda; Lanceolidae
Description: partial 28S ribosomal RNA
Rfam family: Eukaryotic large subunit ribosomal RNA
Source: RNAcentral
AAGCGAUUCCCUUAGUAGUGGCGAACGAAAAGGGAGGAGCCCAGCGCAGAAUCUCCCAGGCCGCCCGGCCUGCGGCGAAAUGUUGCGUUAAGGGAAAGGUCGCUCGUAAGCCACGCACGCUCGUGCUUAUGCCUAAGAGCGAAUUGAAUUGUUCGCGCUUGUUCGGCAUUCGCUCACGCGAGUUGUCGACGUACGGUUCCAGGGUGGGUGCAAGCCCCGUAUGGCGUACGUUGCGUUGCGUUGGUUCGGCCUCUAUUCCCUAAGAGUCGCGUUGCUUGAACAUGCAGCGCUAAGCAGGUGGUAAACUCCACCUAAGGCUAAAUACAUCCACAGAACCGAUAGCUGACAAGUACCGCGAGGGAAAGUUGAAAAGUACUCUGAAGAGAGGGUGAAAAGACCGUGAAACCGCUCAGGGUAAAAGUCAAAUGUCGAGUGAUCCUAGAUGCUGGGGCAUCCUCUCUCUCUGUGUCUCCGAUACAGAGCGAGGCGAUAGUGUGUGUCUGUGUGCGCGUUAGAAGUUACCAGGCUUAUGUAAGCGCGCCGUUUAUUACUGGAGUUUCUCGCUCUAGUGUAUUCGGUCAUUUAAGUCGGGUCUCUCUAGCGCAUCGAGCAUAUCGAGUACACCACCGUCAGGCCCGCUAACAGCCCACCGCAACUGCUGUUGAGUUGUCACUCGCGGUAGACGGGCGUAAGUUCGUGACUUUCUUGUUCUCUCGGUCGUCAGGUUUGCGCUUGCGAGAUGUUUUCCCGGAGUAGGCUGAAGCGCGAGCUUCGGUGCGAAAAGGGCCUCUCGUAUGCGGGCGUACUACUAAUGACAUACCAUAAGGCUGGGAAUGGCGAGUUUGUCAUAAAGCGUACUAUUCGUCGUACUACCAAUGCGAUUGUGUAUGAUCCUCUAGCAGCGUUGUUCGCUGACACACGUUAGUGUACGGUGGUAUAUGCUAGGUGACAUUGAUCACGUCUCGAAACACGGGCCAAGGAGCGUAGCGUGCGCGCAAGUCAAAGGGUCUCACUAAACCCUACGGCGACAGUGAAAGCGAGUGGUUCAUCGGCAUACGUGUCGGUGUAUCCCGGGUUGCGACGGUAGUUCUUUUACCGAAGUCUAUUCGAAGCAUCUCCGUUUUGUCAGGGCCGAUCCCGAUCGAUAAGAUUGGGCGCAAGCCCCGGGCUCACUCGUAAGACGCGGUUUCCCCUCGGGGUUGUUGUGUCGGAGAGAGCACCGAGUAGCGCGCACGGUACAACCCGAAAGAUAGUGAACUAUGCCUGGCGAGGAUUAAGCCCCAGGAAACUGUGGUGGAAGUCCGUAGCCGUUGUGACGUGCAAAUCCAUGGUAUCAGCUGGGCAUAGGGGCGAAAGACCAAUCGAACUAUCUAGUAGCUGGUUCCGUCCGAAGUUUCUCUCAGGAUAGCUGGCGCGAUUACGGCACGUUUGUCUGAUUCUCUAAGCUGGCGACAACAGUCGCACUCGAGAUCGUUCCUGCGUUUGUCGAGAGCUGAGGGCAAUAGCCGCUGCACGCCUCACACGCUCGGUGUCUCCGUCACCUUACUAACUAUUCAGUUACGUCUGGUAAAGAGAAUGAGUAGAGGUUGCGUGCCGCGCGCCCAAAUGCGCGGCAGCGGCGGGGCGUUCUACGCCUCGCACUAUUAUCAAACUUUAAAUGGGCGAGGAACUCGGCAUUUCUUAACUGAGUUAAACGUGAUGCCGGGGAAACGAGUGCGCGUCGCCGUAACAAAGCGACGAGACUAGAAUGUGUCCGCGUUUAGUGGGUCCGUUCUGGUAAGCAGAACUGAUAAUGAGGGAUGAACCUAACGUUGUGUUAAGGGGCCAAAAUGACAGCUAUUUCUCGAAACCAUUGGAAAGGCGUUGCUUGCUGAAGACAGCAGGACGGUGGUCAUGGAAGUUGACAUCCGCUAAGGAGUGUGUAACAACUCAUCCUGCCGAAGCGAGUAACCCUGAAAAUGGAUGGCUCUAAAGCUCUCUCCCGAUGCACGACCGUCAGCGGCAACACGGCUAUUCAUAGUCUCGAUGCCCUGACGAGUAGGACGGAGUAUCGGUGCGCGUCGAAGGCCUUAGGGUAACCUGGGCUGGAGCCGCCGAUAAUUCAGAUCUUGGUGGUAGUAGCAAGUACUCUGGUUGAUAACCUUGAGCUAUGAGGUUGAUAAGGGUUCCAUGUCAACAGCGUUUGUACAUGGGUAAGCCGAUCCUAAGCCAACCUAUACCUCGGUGUAGAGCGCGAGCGCAACUUGCAUGUAUAUAUACCUGGUAACACGAGAGUGUGUGUGUGUGUGUCUUUCUCUCGAGAGAGGUGCGCGCACGCUCCCCGCGUUUUAAUGACUUUAACGCUACAUAUGGCUUGUGAGUGCCGAAAGAGAUACGUACGAAUUUAUAUCGUAGUGUAUUAGUCUCUGUGCAUAUAUACACAUAUACGUUAGUAGUAGUGUGUGUGUGUGUUGUAUGGGAAAUCGUUGGUGCGAUGAAAAAUGUUCUGUGGUGGUGGUGUGACAACCCAGCUGCGUUCUAAAGUAACCCACCCUCUGUAGUACCAUACUCACAUACGCCUCCUCGAACGCGUAUAUUUAUGCUCAUACUUUUACACGCAGAUAUAGAGAUAAAUGCGUGUCUCUAUAUAUUCAUCACCCACGCACAGCUAAGUUAUCGUCUGAAGGGUUUUUGCGAGUUGUUUUAGCCUGGCGAAAGGGAACUAUGGACUUAGUUCAUGGGCCUCUCUUGGUUCCCUGAUGCGUCGCCGUAUCACGAACUUAGCAACAGCUAUCUAGCUGAGCCAUUGCAGUCUCGAGUCGCGUGAUGGGGAGAUGUCUCCUCUCAUUAAUCGAACCCCUAGAACCUGUUAAACGCCUUGAGAGGAGUUAGGCUCUAUGUUCGUGAGAAGAGUAAUUUCUCUCCCCAAUCAUAUCAAUGUUUCUCGAGAUCCGUGAAAAAGUGGCCGAGGGAAUUUCUCUGAUGAACCAUCUCUACCGAUGUUCUUAGAGAUUGCCAAGAGUGUACGUACCCGAGUCCGCAUCCGUCUCAAA